Molecule: long non-coding RNA, 347 nt
Filed under: Nicotiana benthamiana
Lineage: Eukaryota; Viridiplantae; Streptophyta; Magnoliopsida; Solanales; Solanaceae
Description: long non-coding RNA (NBEN_LNC036265)
Source: RNAcentral
CAGCAGUUUCAGCAGCAGCGUACCCAGUGGGAUUCUCAAGCCAUUAUUUUAGCUCCAGCUGCCACCCCACUUUCCCAACCAGCCAGGGGAAGAGAUCGGGGAGAUAGAGGUCGCCCUCAAGCGAGGGGCCGGGCUAGAUUUUAUUCCAUUCCUGAUCGUGCCGAGGCUUUCUCGUUCGAUUUGGUUAUCACAGGUAUUAUACUGGUUAUUCACAAAGAGGCAUCGAUUCUAUUCGAUCCAAUCUCUACUUAUUCUGAUGUGCUAUCUUAUUUUGCUCCGCAUUUGGGUACAUCCCUAGAGGCCUUGAGCUCAUGUUUAUGUUUCUACACUCGUGGGAGAUUCCCUUG